GGGGAUGACGGGCAUCGAUGAAAGUUUUCCUCUUUAAUACGCAAGUUCCCGCGUAACGGGACUAAACAUUACACAAACACAACUGCUAAACCUAAUUUAGCUUUUGCUACUGCUUAAAGUCAGUAGCCAUCCAAACUCUUAAUUCCUGAUAGGGAGUACGGGUGUUAUUUUUUCAGGAUAGAUAAUUAGUUUUGUCUCUGGCUAAUUAUUAAAAACCUUGAGACGAGAAUUAAGAAUAUUUUGCUUGGCUUUUAGUUCUUCUUUCUCUAAUUUAAACCAAGCUAAACUUGUAGAAUUAUUAAAGAAUAACUUUUAGACGAGGGUUCAACUCCCUCCGUCUCCACCA
Molecule: transfer-messenger RNA, 346 nt
Filed under: Patescibacteria group bacterium
Lineage: Bacteria
Also listed under: 1 other name
Rfam family: transfer-messenger RNA
About the family: Bacterial tmRNA, also known as 10Sa RNA or SsrA, is named for its dual tRNA and mRNA-like properties.
Source: RNAcentral